RNAcentral lists this unclassified non-coding RNA (395 nucleotides) under uncultured bacterium. RNAcentral's name for it is "contains 16S-23S intergenic spacer region". The record is from RNAcentral.
UCCGGUUUGGCACCGGCAGUCCCCCUAGAGUCCCCGGCUUGGCCCUCGCGGGCCGCUCCGCUGGUAACUAGGGGCGGGGGUUGCGCUCGUUGCGGGACUUAACCCAACAUCUCACGACACGAGCUGACGACAGCCAUGCAGCACCUGUGCGCGGACUCCGAAGAGGGGCCCCCGUCUCUGGGGGCUUUCCCGCGCAUGUCAAGCCCAGGUAAGGUUCUUCGCGUUGCGUCGAAUUAAACCACAUGCUCCACCGCUUGUGCGGGCCCCCGUCAAUUCCCUUGAGUUUUAGCCUUGCGGCCGUACUCCCCAGGCGGGGCGCUUAAUGCGUUAGCUGCGGCACGGAACUCGUGGAAUGAGCCCCACACCUAGCGCCCAACGUUUACGGUGUGGACUAC